This 500-nucleotide ribosomal RNA is filed under the name uncultured bacterium. RNAcentral describes it as "partial 16S ribosomal RNA". It matches the Rfam family "Bacterial small subunit ribosomal RNA", at positions 30 to 523 of the family's 1533-position model. The record is from RNAcentral.
AUUGAACGCUGGCGGAAUGCUUUACACAUGCAAGUCGAACGGCAGCACGGACUUCGGUGUGGUGGCGAGUGGCGAACGGGUGAGUAAUGUAUCGGAACGUGCCCAGUCGUGGGGGAUAACGUAGUGAAAAUUACGCUAAUACCGCAUACGAUCUAUGGAUGAAAGCGGGGGAUCGCAAGACCUCGCGCGAUUGGAGCGGCCGAUAUCAGAUUAGGUAGUUGGUGGGGUAAAGGCCCACCAAGCCAACGAUCUGUAGCUGGUCUGAGAGGACGACAAGCCACACUGGAACUGAGACACGGUCCAGACUCCUACGGGAGGCAGCAGUGGGGAAUUUUGGACAAUGGGCGAAAGCCUGAUUCAGCCAUUCCGCGUGCAGGAUGAAGGCCCUCGGGUUGUAAACUGCUUUUGUACAGAACGAAAAGGUUUCUACUAAUACUAGGAGCUCAUGACGGUACUGUAAGAAUAAGCACCGGCUAACUACGUGCCAGCCGCCGCCGUAA